RNAcentral lists this unclassified non-coding RNA (240 nucleotides) under soil metagenome. RNAcentral's name for it is "partial contains 5.8S ribosomal RNA, internal transcribed spacer 2, and large subunit ribosomal RNA". The record is from RNAcentral.
AACACUGUUAACCUGCGGUACCUGCGGAAGGAUCAUUAUAGUAUAUGGAAUCUCCAUCCUAUAAACCCACUCUGCGUAUCUUGUAACUGUUGCUUCCAUGGGACUUGGUUCCGCCACACCGGCUUCACGGCUGGUGAGCGCCCAUGGAAGGAGAAACAAAACUCUUCUUUGAAAUGUAGUCAGUCUGAACAAGUUUUUAUAAACGUUAAAACUUUCAGCAAUGGAUCUCAGAUCGGAAGA